Molecule: long non-coding RNA, 391 nt
Filed under: Homo sapiens (human)
Lineage: Eukaryota; Metazoa; Chordata; Mammalia; Primates; Hominidae
Description: long independently transcribed non-coding RNA 2602 (LINC02602)
Source: RNAcentral
AUAUCAUAGCUGCAGAAUAUUCGGACCCUCUAGUCCCAGCCGCCCAGUGAACUUGAGCUGUGUGACCUUGAGCAAAAGGCAAAAUGUUUCUGAUUUUCAGUCCCCUCAUCUGGAAAAGGAGGAGGCUGUGGGACAUGAUGAUCUUUGAAAGUCUAAUAAUGAAACAAACAGAAAACCUGUGCUUCUAAGUUGGUGAGUCUGGAAAGGCUUGGUGUACAGUUGAUGUCUAGAAUAUAUUAACAGAAGGCUGCCCUGUAGAAGUUUUGAGUUAAUGGUUUCCAUCAACGCAGGAGUGGAAGAAGCUACUGGGGAUCAGGAAUCAGAAGUCCUGGCUUUAAGCCCUAGCUUUAGCCCUCACUGGUAAUAAAAUCAAAGCAAUUGGUCUCUUUGA